UAGAAAUUCUCAUACCAUUGCAACCCUAAUAGGGAAUUAAAAAACAUUAACAGCUACAAAGAAUGUGGGACAAGGUUGUAAAAGUACAUGCCCCCUUGGCACCCUACUUCUGACCCCACCUAUCUUCAUACAUCUCCAUCUUGCAAGUUUGUGACAUACUGCCAAAUUCUUUCUCUGCCUCUAAAGCAGGGAUGUCGAACUCCAGGCCUUGAGGGUCCUGCAGCAUAGAUAUCACCCUGGGUCAACACACCUGAAUCAAAUGAUUAGUUCAUUACCAGGCCUUUGGAGAACUUCAAGACAUGUUGAGGAGGUCAUUUAGCCUUUUAAAUAAGCUGUGUUGGAUCAAGGACACAUCUAAAACCUGCAGGACACUGGCCCUCGAGGCCUGGAGUUCGACAUCUGUGCUCUAAAGCAAUGGCUGUGUCCGAAUUCAGGGGAAGGAUGCUUAAAAUGCCAUAUUUGGAGGCAAUGACGUCACAGCAACGCGACGAGGACUGUCCGAUUUCAAAGAGCACUCAAAAUGUGGCGACAAAUGUGUCCUACUUUUCCGUGAAUUUGAGGGUUAGUCGUGUCCGAAUUCAGAGGAAGGACGCUUCAAUGCCAUAUUUGGAGGCAAUGACGUCACGGCGACGAGACGAAGGCUGUCCGAAUUCAAAGAGUCCUCAAAAUGUGGUGACAAAUGUGUCCUACUUUGCCCUGAAUUCUAAGGAUGGUCCGAUGUAUCCUUCAUGUCCUACUAUAUCCCAGGAUUCAUUGCGGGUCAUAGAGGAGAUUUGUUUCUGAUAACGAUGGUGGUCGAAGCGGGAGAGGAAAACACUUUCAAAUGACAAUUCUGGAGAAGAUGGGCCUGCAGGGGAAAGUCACCCCCUUGCAGGCCAGAAGACAUGAGAUAACUUUAAAGAAUACAAAGAUUGCAAGUAUCCAGGCUCAGGAGAGUGGGUCAGUGGGAAGCCCACUGCUGCUACUUGGCCCUGGUUUGCCCUCAUGGAUGAGGUGAUAGGACAGAGGCCUUCCAUUAAGCCUCUUGUCCAAAUGUCCUCUCUCCCUGAGGACACUCCAGUGCCAAGCACAACAGUGGGUGACCAAAACGACAGUGAUGACGAAGCGGCUCAGCCACCUACGACAGGGAGAAAGAGGGAAAGAGAUGAUGAGCUGCUAGACCUCAUCAGAGAGGACAUGAGGCAGCAAAGAGAGGCAGAGGAGAGCAGGGAGAGGAUGGACAGACUGUUUUCACUUCUAGAAAGAUGUGUUCCAAAAUGAGUUAUAUAUUGAGAAAUUUAUUUAUUUGAAUAUAUUUGUUACAUUGUUACAUGUGUUGCAUUAGUUUAAAGGUUUUAUGUUAUUAAUAAAUUGAUUCG
This is a long non-coding RNA of Pelmatolapia mariae (spotted tilapia), 1358 nucleotides long. RefSeq lists it as uncharacterized. Lineage: Eukaryota; Metazoa; Chordata; Actinopteri; Cichliformes; Cichlidae. The transcript is spliced from 3 exons. The record is from RefSeq and is a predicted model, not a curated record.